AAGUCCUAGAACAACAGUGAAGCCAUUGUCAGCUAGGGGACCAAAGUCAGAAUGAGGCAGCGUCAGCCUUAGCAACCAACCAUGGGAGGCAUCGUGCUGGGGAAGACUGAUAAACAGGGCACAUGCCUGGGACAGGCUGUGACCUCUCUAACACCAGCUUCUGGCUGAGGACAUGCCUCAGUGGGAAGGAUAUGUUUCCAGUGUGUACGAAGCUCUGGGUUCUAUGCCCUGCACUGGAUCCAGCUAUGGAGACUCCCAGCACUUGGGGAGGCAGAGUAUCAUCUUUAGCUACAAGAUGAGUUUGAGGCUAGCCUGGACUAGUAAAAAAAUGACACACGUGUGUGUAGACACAUGUCCAUACAUGCAUGCACACCCUCAUUCCCCGUGAGGACCAUUUUCAGACUCAUUACCACCAGCUUUGACCCUUGCUCUUGGAUUCUCCAACCAUUAUAUGUAGUUCAUGCCUGCACUAAUCCAUGGGUAGCAUAGUCCUGUGGGUCUGGAUCCUGUUGCUAAGGGCAACAGCAUGACUGUGCAGACUUACUUUCUUGACCGGAACUGCUCUGUCUGAACUAAUGGGCCCUGUUCUCUGUGCAUAGAGAGCUCGUACAUGACAGCUGCCCAUCCAUCAGGACGGCUGUCAAAGAUAAGAACCAGCAGUUGAGAGACAUGCAGGCAUUUGGAAAAUCUUAUAGUGUGUUCUUGCUCGUUAAGGCAAGCACCCUUACAUAAGUCCUCAGGAGCAAAUGGGUACCUUCCACAGCUGAUAGAAACUGUAAUGAAGAGAGCUUCAAUUCAUCACCCAUGAAGGGUCCUAGGUGGCAAGGCAGCAGGAGAGGUAUGGCAGUGAUUAUACUCCUCUCCCUGCUGUGACAAAGUAGAUGACGGAGGCAACUUAAGGGAGGCUGGGCUUGUUGUGGCUCAGCCUAAUGGUACGGUCCCCAUGGUGGGCGGGGCAGCUGACUGCUUUGUGCUCAUGGUCAUGGGGUGAGGGUAAAGAAUGCUUUUACUCGGUUUGCCUUCUCCCUCUCCUCUUAUCCAGCUCAUGGACUAGUGCCCAACAUUCUGAACGGCUCUUCCCUCAACACCCUCACCAACACACCCGGAGGGGUGUUUCCAUGGUGACUGCAGUUCCUGAUUAGAGUAACCUUCACAACAGGCAAUCUACAAGGCCAUCUAGAUCAGACUGCAAAGGAGCCAGAAGGCAAGUGAGAAUUCUUCUGCUUCUUGAAUUUGGUGAAGCCCAACCUUGGUGCCUUUAAUAUCCCUAAAGGGCCCAUGUGUUGAAAGCUUUGUCCCCAAUGAGGCAUUCUGGGAUAUGCUGGGACUUUUGGGAGGUAGGGGCUUAGAGUCUUUAGGACGUUAGGAGCUUGGCUUUGAUGGGAUGUAGGAGACACUUCCUGUUUCUUCCUAGCUAUGCGCCAACCAGUUUGUUUUUGUUUGUUUGUUGUUAUUGUUGUUUAGAUUUACCUCUGUGUGUGUGUGUGUGUGUGUGUGUGUGUGUGUGUGUGUGUGUGUACUCGCGUGCUCGAGCCUAUGGGGUCCAGAAGAGGGCACUAGAUUCACUGGAAUUAUAGGCAAUUAUAAGCUGUCUGGUGUGGAUUUUAGAAAUUGGACUUGGAUCUUCUGUAAGAACAAGUGCUCUUAACCACCAGGUCUUCUCUGAGUACCCUAACUGAGACGUUUUGCUUUGUAUCAUGUCCAGCCAUGAUGUAGGGCUUCCCCAGAAACCCACAGCAGUGGGGCCUACUCAUGGAUAGAAACCUUAAACGGAGCUGAAAGACAGCAUCCCUAGUCUGAGUUCGCCAUCUCGGGCAUGCGCUAUGGCUGCGGGGAGCAGGCCAGCAUCUUACAUCAGGCUGAGCAGAUGGAAAGCCCAGAAGGCUCCAAGUUCAGACUCUUGUCUUUUACAGCUUCUCCCUCCUCUGACAGUCCCUGCUUGUAUCUUUGUACCUGUUAAGGCCAAGAGAAAUGAAGACAACCGACCUUGAUCAAUGUCUGUGUAUGAAAGGCAGUAUAAAAGAAAGCAUUGAAUGGAUUCAAAGACCAUAUAGUACUACGUGCAACUUACUCAUCUGUUGAGACUUGGCGUGAUCAACUUGUAUGCAAAAGCCAGGCAUGGAAAGGACACCUGUGAGAACCUGAAAGCUCCCUUGAACCCUCAAGAGUUACCUGGCCCCUGGUUCUAGAGCUGAUUGAACCUUACCCCUUUGUGAUGGUUAGCUUUGUCACUCUGACACAACCUAGAAUCCCCUGGGAAGAAAGUCUCAGUGAAAGACUGUGUAGCUCAGGUUGGCCCGUGGGGGAUGAUCUUUAUGAUGUUAACUCAUGUGAAAGACCCAUCCACUAUGGGUGGUAUCAUUCCCUGGGCAGGGCAUGGAGAACUGUGUGAAUGUGAAGAAAGAGGGCUGAGCACAAGCAAGCAUUCAUUACUUGUUGUUCUCUGUUAACCAUGAAUGUAGCUGCUUCAAGUUCCUGCUACCUUGACUUCCUCAGUGUGGACCAUAACCUAAAAUUGUGAUCCAAAUAAACAUUAUUCUCC
Molecule: long non-coding RNA, 2542 nt
Organism: Mus musculus (house mouse)
Lineage: Eukaryota; Metazoa; Chordata; Mammalia; Rodentia; Muridae
Product: predicted gene, 41947
Exons: 3
Source: RefSeq, a predicted model, not a curated record